Molecule: ribosomal RNA, 253 nt
Filed under: uncultured bacterium
Lineage: Bacteria
Description: partial 16S ribosomal RNA
Rfam family: Bacterial small subunit ribosomal RNA
Source: RNAcentral
UACGAAGGGGGCUAGCGUUGCUCGGAAUCACUGGGCGUAAAGGGUGCGUAGGCGGGUCUUUAAGUCAGGGGUGAAAUCCUGGAGCUCAACUCCAGAACUGCCUUUGAUACUGAAGAUCUUGAGUUCGGGAGAGGUGAGUGGAACUGCGAGUGUAGAGGUGAAAUUCGUAGAUAUUCGCAAGAACACCAGUGGCGAAGGCGGCUCACUGGCCCGAUACUGACGCUGAGGCACGUAAGCGUGGGGAGCAAACAGG